UAGGGGGCCGAAAUGAUGCAUGGCAGUGGGCGCUAGAGUGGAGCGGUGACUGUGGGUGUUGACUGAGUCUCUGCUCUAGUGGGGCUGAUGUGGGAGGCAGGGAUGAGGGCAAGAUUUCACGCACCCAUUGAAUUUUUUGUAGUGAGGGCUCUUGGUUGGCUUAUUUGCUGCACUUGUAGAGGAAUUGUCCAGGAGCAGCAGCCGGAGGAGAAAUUGGCAGACGUGGGCCUGAGGAGCCUGGACAUUCUUCUAAGGAGACAUGAACAGUCCUCAGCUUUCUGCCUCGUGCAUAACUGGCUGUGGGUUUGGUGUGUCUGACCAGAGUCGUCUGUGCAGAGUGACUAUUUCAGGUGUCGUCGCAAGGGGUGCUUUCUACUUGUAGUCAUAAAGGCGUGAUGGGAGGAGGGUUCAGGGCAGAGCCCCACCAUGUGGGAGAGGCGAAAAGAAGCGGCUACCCAACAUUGCCAAUUGAGAUGGUGACUGACUUGUUUUUCCGCUGGAUUUAGUACCAAGGGAAAAGAAGUGACAAGUCAGAGUCUACUGCCCUCAUGCAAUGGAAAGCGAGCGAGAGUGAUGGGACUGCGAGAAUUAUUGAUGCCUUGAAAAAGCCGUCCAACUGGGAAUGGAACAGUCAUCACUAUCAAUGAGAUAAGUGUCUGUUUGGGUGAUUGCUCUGCUCACGGGCCACCUUGCUCCUGAAAGGGAUGCCCCGUUUGCUGAGGCUGUGUUUGUAAGAAAAGGUUCCUGACUAGCUGUGGUUUUGAGAGACAGAGAGAAGAUCCCCAUUUUUAGUGGCUGCUCAGUUUUCUGGCCAGGAGCAGUGUGUCCUACGCAGCAGAAGGUUGCAUCUAGGAGAAUGAGUCCAGGACAUGGGCAGGAGUGCUACGUGUGCAUCCCCACAGGUCAGGUCUUGGGAGCCAUGGAGAAGUUGAAGCAGAGAAAAAUCAUGAGGGGCAGUUGGUUCUGAAGUGGAGCAGUGACUCUGUUUACCUGUCUCUGUUCAUGAAGUGGGGCUCAGGUAGAUGGCCUGGGAGAAGGAGGAUGGGAUGAGGACAGGUUGUCAUGCAUGAAUAGAACUUUUUGUACUGAUGGCUCAAUGAAUUGGUUUUGCAGCUGCACUUCCAGAGGAAGUGUCUAGGAACCCCAGCCCGAGGAGAAGCUGGCAGAAGUGGACCUGAUCAGUCUGAACAUCCUUCUAAACAGACAUGAGCAGUCCUCAGCUUUCUGCCUCCCACAUAACUACACUUCAUUACUUCAGCGGCACGGCUGAAGCCUAAGAUGAAUGCAGGGUAGAGGCUUAGCACGGAUGGCUGCUUGCCUUUAGAAAGGUGUAAUGGGAGAUGAGCGAAGAAGAACCUACACAACACUGCAGAUUCCGAUGGUAACUUCUGUUUGUCUGUGGUACUAAGCAAAACACAAGAGGGAGAAAGAAGUCAAGGGUAAGAGCCCACCCCCGUUGUAUGAUGGAAAGCACGCAAAAGCCGUGAGACAGCCAACAUUGUUGAUGCCAGGCUAUGCAGAUGCCGUCGAGCUGGAAGUGGAGCAGCUGUCACUAUCAGUGAGAUAAGUGUCUGGUUUGGUGAGGACUCUGGUAACGGCCCACCCGCCUCCAGGCUGGGACUUGUCGUUAGCAGGGGCUUGAUUUGAAGGAAAAGAUUCCUCAGUAGCUGUGGUUAGGAGGAAGACAAGGUCUCCAUUUUCAGGAGCUGGUCAUUUCUCCGUCCACAAGCAGUGUGUCCUCCGCAGGAGAAGGUUGGAUCCAGGGGGAUGACUCCAACUGGUGAGUUCUUUGCCUUCCUCCUGCGUUUCGCUCUCUUUCUUUGUCUCUCUCUCUCCUUUCUGUACUGUGUUCGCCGACACACACACACACACACUCUCUCUCUCUCUCUCUCUCUCCCCCCUUUCCUCUCCCUGUGCUGUCUCCCUUCCUAGGACAUGGGCAGGUGUGCUAGGGGUGCAUCCCCACAGGCUUGGUCUCGGGAACCAUGAAGAAGUAGGAAGGAACAGAAAUCAUGCAGGAUAGUGGAGUGGAGUGGUGACUGUCCAUGUUCACUCCAUCUGUGUUCAAGUGGGGCUGAUGUACAUGGAAUGGGAGAGGGAGGCAGGGAUGAGAGCCUUCAUAGAGCUCUGUGUAGUGAUAGUUCUUGCUUGGCUUUAUUAGUUUGCAGAGUAAUCGUCCAGGAGGUGUCUCCAGAGGAGAAACUGGCAGAGGUGGACCUGAACUGAACUGCCUGGACAUCCUUCUAAGGAGACAUGAAGGGUCCUCAGCUUUCUGCCUCUCAUUACCAAGGGAAAAGAAGUCAGAAGUCAGCGUCUACUGCCCUCAUGCGAUGGAAAGCGAGCGAGAGCGAUGGGAAUGAUUGAUGUCACAAAAAAGCUGUCCAAGUGGGAGUGGAACAGCCACCACUGUCAAUGAGGAAAGUGUCUGUUUUGGUGAUUGCUCUGCUCACAGCCCACCUUGCUCCUGAGGAAUUGUCCAGGAGCAGCAGUUGAAGGAGAAAGUGGCGGACGUGGACCUGAGGAGCCUGGACAUUCUUCUAAGCAGACAUGAAUGGUCCUCAGAUUUCUGCCUCCCGCACAACUGGCUGUGAGUAAGCGGUCAGUGCUUGGAAUCCCUCAUCUGUACUGGCUCCGGUCUUGUUCAGAGGCUCUGAAUUUCCUCAUUGGACAUGGUGCUUUGUGAGAUUCAGACGAGGCAAAGGCACAAGUCUCCCGUGCAGACACUAGGGGGAAAAACAAGAGUCCACUCCGUACAUGCCAUGGAAAGGGAGUGAGAACUGGGAGAUUCUAAGCAUUGUUGAUGCCAGGGAAGAGCCAUCCAGCUGGGAGUGGAGCAAGGACCACUGUCAGUGAGAUAAGUGUCUUGUUAGGUGAAGGCUCUGCUGUGGUUAUGAGGGAGACAAGGUCCCUAUUUUCAGGGGCUGCUCAGUCCUCUGGCCAGUA
Mauremys mutica (yellowpond turtle) is the source of this 2943-nucleotide long non-coding RNA. RefSeq lists it as uncharacterized. NCBI's taxonomy places the organism in Eukaryota, Metazoa, Chordata, Testudines, Geoemydidae. The transcript is spliced from 7 exons. The record is from RefSeq and is a predicted model, not a curated record.